UAGCAUGGAGUGGUUUCGAUCCACCGAUAUGUGCGUUAUGGGCCCAGCACCCUUCCACUGCGCCAGGCAGCU
Non-coding RNA from Oesophagostomum dentatum (nodular worm), 72 nucleotides. The record is from the annotation of a GenBank genome assembly. Lineage: Eukaryota; Metazoa; Nematoda; Chromadorea; Rhabditida; Strongylidae.